UGGCUCUGCUGGUUGUUCAGUAUCACCGUCUUCAGGAAUUGUGGCCUCAUCAGCAAUCUCUUCCUCUGUUACCUCUGAGGUCUUUGGAGACUCCGCCUGAAUCUCCACCUCACUUCUGACACCAUGAUCCGUUUGCUCUGCUGGUUGAGUCUCAAGACUCCUCUUUUGAAGCAUUGCAGUCUCGUCGAAGAUCACGUCUCUGCUGAUUAGAAAACCGGGUGAUCUG
RNAcentral lists this long non-coding RNA (226 nucleotides) under Eucalyptus grandis. Its description in RNAcentral is "long non-coding RNA (EGRA_LNC004881)". Lineage: Eukaryota; Viridiplantae; Streptophyta; Magnoliopsida; Myrtales; Myrtaceae. The record is from RNAcentral.